This is a long non-coding RNA of Melopsittacus undulatus (budgerigar), 1360 nucleotides long. RefSeq lists it as uncharacterized. The record is from RefSeq and is a predicted model, not a curated record. Lineage: Eukaryota; Metazoa; Chordata; Aves; Psittaciformes; Psittaculidae. The transcript has 5 exons.
CCCCGUCGCCCCCCAUUUCAAUGCUGAAUUUUCGACAGAGCGGCCCCCCCCUCCCGUCUUCACCGACACAUGACGGCAGCAGCGAGCGGCUUCCGGAGCCGCUCCGCCCCCCCCACCUCCACCACCUGCAGUACCGCCGUUCGGACGCACGGUGGCAGCACACGCUCCCUUUUUCGGUGCCGCAGGGGAAACGGGCUCCGGAGCUGCUGCUCCGCGCCCGGCUUCAGUCCUCCGUGGAAUGCUCCUCGGAGCGGUGCUUUUGGUUUUGCAAACGCCGCAGGCAUCACCUGCACACACAGAGCUCCUGCCCUCGCUUGGCCACCUGAAAUUCAGAGGGAGCUCUGCACACGGCCUCUCCGGUGCCCGAUCUCUGGAUCUCUCUCUAAGAGAUGGGGCUGUUCUCUGGAUAAAGCACGCCGGGGUUUGCUCUGUUGAAGAGCCCUUUUCUCCCUGGAUCUCCUCCUGGGCUGCAGCCAUCAGCCAAAACGGAAAGCACUGCUCAUCCUACCUCUUUUACCCCAGCUUUGGAGUCUUGCGGCGUUUUGUGCUGUUGUGCUGGGAUGUUUGCCGUAAUGGAAUCAGCUGAGUGCGGAGCAUCAGGACCUCUCAAGGCUUCCCAGCAGCUCCCACCCGUAAGCACCAAAGAGUCCUCCUCAGCCUCGGGUCUGAGUCAGCUCCCCGGGCAUGGGGCAUUCUGUGCUGCAGGGAACAGAGCGUGCGGGCGACACGGGUCCUGCAUGGACACCUCGUUGCUGUUCUCGUCUGCGUGCGAUCAUCCAGGGUGAGACCAGGGGACAUACUAGGAAGACUGCUGGGGAUGCCUUCCGUCUUCUCCCUGCGUACCAGGAACUCUGUCAUCUGACGCUCCUCCAGAUGGACCUCCUUUCCAGCUGAACUCAAUCACCACUGCACUGAUUUCAGGCCUUGUCCACCUAGGAGUCACAAACGUUUUCUUUUUUGUAUGUUCCUUAACUCUUCUGUGCAGAAAGUGGCAUGACAGUUCAGUCUUGAGUGGCAUCUGAAAUGCAGGUUUCAGCUGAAACCGGUGAUUUACUUGCACUUUUUCUGUGGGGCUGUCUUUCUUGUCCAUGAAAUAUGAUUCCAUUAAAAAAUGUUGACACAAUGUUCCAGCUGUAUCCAGCUUCUAUACCAGCUGUUCUGUAUUUUUAUUUUGCUAGAUUAUGUUGUGUAGGUAAAGCAGCAGUGGUAUUGGUAACAUUCAGAAAUGCUCAUAAGUUCAUACACACGUAGUAAGAUAAGGAUCUCGUCUAUUUUGUCAUGGCAUUUUUCACAUGUUUGCUUCUCAGAAGGACUUUGUUUUAUUCUAUCUUGGUUAAAAAUAAAAACAAACCAAAACUUG